CCUACGGGUGGCAGCAGUAGGGAAUAUUGCACAAUGGGGGCAACCCUGAAGCAGCCACGCCGCGUGUAGGAUGAAGGCUUUCGGAUUGUAAACUACUUUCGUCGGGGAAGAAGAUAGUAGAGUUUAACGAUUAAGCACUGGCCAACUCCGGGCCAGCAGCCGCGGUAAAACGGAGGGUGCAAGCGUUACUCGGAAUCACUGGGCGUAAAGAGCGCGUAGGCGGGAUAGCAAGUCAGAUGUGAAAUCCUAUGGCUUAACCAUAGAACUGCAUUUGAAACUGUUAAUCUAGAGUAUGGGAGAGGUAGGUGGAAUUCUUGGUGUAGGGGUAAAAUCCGUAGAGAUCAAGAGGAAUACUCAUUGCGAAGGCGACCUGCUAGAACAUAACUGACGCUGAUGCGCGAAAGCGUGGGGAGCAAACAGGAUUAGAUACCCCAGUAGUC
RNAcentral lists this ribosomal RNA (440 nucleotides) under uncultured bacterium. RNAcentral describes it as "partial 16S ribosomal RNA". It matches the Rfam family "Bacterial small subunit ribosomal RNA", at positions 338 to 795 of the family's 1533-position model. The record is from RNAcentral.